AGAACGAACGCCGGCGGCACGCCUAACACAUGCAAGUCGAGCGCCCAGCAAUGGGAGCGGCGGACGGGUGAGUAACACGUGGGAAUAUGCCUUUCGGUACGGAACAACUCAGGGAAACUUGAGCUAAUGCCGUAUACGCCCUUACGGGGAAAGAUUUAUCGCCGAAAGAUUAGCCCGCGUCUGAUUAGCUAGUUGGUGAGGUAAUGGCUCACCAAGGCUUCGAUCAGUAGCUGGUUUGAGAGAACGACCAGCCACACUGGGACUGAGACACGGCCCAGACUCCUACGGGAGGCAGCAGUGGGGAAUCUUGGACAAUGGGGGAAACCCUGAUCCAGCGAUGCCGCGUGAGUGAUGAAGGCCUUCGGGUUGUAAAACUCGUUUCGACGGGGACGAUAAUGACGGUACCCGUAGAAGAAGCUCCGGCUAACUUCGCGCCAGCAGCCGC
This 445-nucleotide ribosomal RNA is filed under the name uncultured bacterium. RNAcentral describes it as "SSU rRNA". It matches the Rfam family "Bacterial small subunit ribosomal RNA", at positions 26 to 518 of the family's 1533-position model. The record is from RNAcentral.